Molecule: long non-coding RNA, 822 nt
Filed under: Bos indicus x Bos taurus (hybrid cattle)
Lineage: Eukaryota; Metazoa; Chordata; Mammalia; Artiodactyla; Bovidae
Description: lncRNA (ENSBIXG00000022047.1)
Source: RNAcentral
AAAAAAAUCUAACAAAAAAAAAAACCCCAGGCUCUUCCUCCCCGUUGCUUUCUGAGCUGAGAAGAAAGCCUCCUAAAUAUUUUGUCCCCUUGACAAGUUAUUUUUAAAAAGAAAUAAUGUCUCUAGAUCCAACAUUUGUGAUGACUUAAAAAAAAAAAAAAAGAAAAGAAAACACGCCACAAAUCAACAGCUCUCUUGUUUUAAGCAAUUGCUAGGUUUUGGAGAGCAGGCUGCUUGGUAAACAUACUUGGUAAACAUCCAGAAAGGAUUGCAUGCAGUGUCCUCCAGUCAAAACCAACCUUCCCCAAGCCCCUGCUUUCUGUUUCAUUGAUGCAGGAAGAAGCUCUCUAAAAGCAGACCAGAGAUGAGGCUGCCGCAGUUACUGGAGGACAUUUCUUCUGGGCUGGGAAAUCUACAAGCAUCUGCUCUCUCCAGUCCCCAUGACUGUCUUCCCCAGCUGUAUUCAGAAGGCCGUGGAUGUCUCCUCAGCAACCCCCCAACCCUGCGUCCUUCUCAUCAGAUGUCCUGGUGAGUAUUCUUUUCGAGAUGUUUCUUGAAUGAAUGAAUGAAGUGUGAGAAUGCUCACGGUUGCCUGGGGAAGGAGAGGUUAUUUGAAACAGGCUUAGCGUACAACAUGUGGGGCAGGGCGUGGAGCCACUCUGGGUAGUGUGUGUGUGUGUUUACAUGUGGGUGUGAAAGGUGGAGGGAAAAAAUUAGGCAGCAACUCCCCUGUAGCUGGUGUGUCCUGAGCCUGAGCUUUCCCAGGCAGAGAUCUCAGUCUCCCCGUUUAUCCUUCCGGCCAGGGGGUGGGGUGGGGGCUGG